This 253-nucleotide ribosomal RNA is filed under the name uncultured bacterium. RNAcentral's name for it is "partial 16S ribosomal RNA". It matches the Rfam family "Bacterial small subunit ribosomal RNA", at positions 524 to 776 of the family's 1533-position model. The record is from RNAcentral.
GACGGAGGUGCCAAGCGUUAGGCGGAAUCACUGGGCUUAAAGCGUGUGUAGGUGGAAUGGUAAGUACCUUGUGAAAUCCCACGGCUCAACCGUGGAACUGCUCGGUAUACUGCUUUUCUUGAGCCACUUAGGGGCUGUCGGAACAAACGGUGGAGUGGUGAAAUGCGUAGAUAUCGUUUGGAACGCCAACGGUGAAAACAGACAGCUGGGAGUGUGCUGACGCUGAGACACGAAAGCCAGGGGAGCGAACGGG